Molecule: small RNA, 27 nt
Filed under: Bombyx mori (domestic silkworm)
Lineage: Eukaryota; Metazoa; Arthropoda; Insecta; Lepidoptera; Bombycidae
Description: ovarian small RNA-4330
Source: RNAcentral
AAUUGUGGAAAUGCCGUAGUAAGUGUC